This 530-nucleotide long non-coding RNA is filed under the name Bos indicus x Bos taurus (hybrid cattle). RNAcentral describes it as "lncRNA (ENSBIXG00000005248.1)". The record is from RNAcentral. Lineage: Eukaryota; Metazoa; Chordata; Mammalia; Artiodactyla; Bovidae.
AGUUAAUCUAUUGGAGCUGAAUUACAUUGCCUUUUAUUUUCUUAAGUGUAAAAAGUACUUUACAUAUUAAAUUUAGAGUAAACAUCCUGUCUGAUGUUGCGUAUGAACAGAUCUGUUUCCUUGAUCCUGUUUCAUUCUGACCCUCUGCUAAGCAUCUGAUCCAUGCAAUCUGCAUUCAACUAUGGAACCAAAGACAGCAGCACUGUCCAGCCCCUGUCCUGGUCAUCAACGUUUGCCAGAGGAAUUGAAUGAACUAAAUACAGAGUUUUGUGAUGAAAGUGUAACAUACUCCGAACUCAAACUUCGUGAUUCUUCAAAUAUUCAGAAGAGAAAACUAACUAGGAUUUGGAAAGCAAAAGAGUCUCCAUGGUGCAUUGCUACAGUGAUAUUUGCCUUGCUUUAUUUAAUUGCUCUUGCACUAGCUGCAUUUAUGAUAGCUAAGGUUAAUUGUCUAGAAGAAAUUCUGAAUACAUAUGAAAACAAUACGUCAAAUGUGCCUGGACGCUGCAACACAAUAUAGCAAAACCGAG